Long non-coding RNA from Fukomys damarensis (Damara mole-rat), 636 nucleotides. RefSeq lists it as uncharacterized. The transcript is spliced from 5 exons. The record is from RefSeq and is a predicted model, not a curated record. Lineage: Eukaryota; Metazoa; Chordata; Mammalia; Rodentia; Bathyergidae.
CAAGGAUACCAGGGAACAGAAAGCAGACUUGGGAGAUAUGCGGGGGUUUGGAUCAUGGGUGUGCGUGGUGGAAAGUGUUCAACAGUUCUCAAUCGCGUCUGGUGAAGUAAUUCUGAAGAAAAAAAAAAAAACUACUAUAGCAAUGCUACAUAGACAUAAACAUCUCAUCUGAAGUGCUGGAGAUCAAACCCAGGGCUCUGCGCAUGACAGCCCAGUGUUCCACCUCUGAGCUAUACCUCAACCUGCAAAGAUGCACCGCAUUCAGCUGCAAGUAAAACAGAACAUUGAAGUACAAUUUAAUAGAAGUAUUUCAGAAACCAGCUGCUGGAGUACGGGCUUCUGGAGUCCACGAGUUCCUUAAUUACACUACGUUACAGAAAGACUCAAUCCUUUCCAAGUUUCUCCCACCUGCCAAAUUUUUACAGCCAUGCAACCUCAUAAAAACAGAGGUCAUUACUGAUUAUUCCAGCUCCUCUGAGUAACUUGUGUGCUGAUGCGUGAGCCUUGACACGUUCAAUGAAAUGUUUUGGGAUCUAGAAAAAAAGCAACAGCAACCAAAGAACAGAAGAACAGUACUGCAGAUAGGUAUUAAAAAGUUAAUUAUUUACAAAUUUUAAAAAUAAUUCUUGAGUGAGA